AGCAGUCGCCGCGGUAAUACAGAGGGUGCGAGCGUUAAUCGGAUUUACUGGGCAUAAAGCGUGCGUAGGCGGCUUCUUAAGUCGGAUGUGAAAUCCCUGAGCUUAACUUAGGAAUUGCAUUCGAUACUGGGAAGCUAGAGUAUGGGAGAGGAUGGUAGAAUUCCAGGUGUAGCGGUGAAAUGCGUAGAGAUCUGGAGGAAUACCGAUGGCGAAGGCAGCCAUCUGGCCUAAUACUGACGCUGAGGUACGAAAGCAUGGGGAGCAAACAGGAUUAGAGACCCCUGUAGUCCCUGUCUCUUAUAC
RNAcentral lists this ribosomal RNA (303 nucleotides) under uncultured bacterium. RNAcentral's name for it is "partial 16S ribosomal RNA". It matches the Rfam family "Bacterial small subunit ribosomal RNA", at positions 507 to 807 of the family's 1533-position model. The record is from RNAcentral.